AAUGAACGUUGGCGGCAUGGAUUAGGCAUGCAAGUCGAGGGAGAACCCGCAAGGGGGACACCGGCGAACGGGGUAGGAAUACAUAGGUAACGUACCCUCAGGACGGGGAUAGCCAAGGGAAACUUUGGGUAAUACCCGAUGUGAUGGCGAGAUGUGAAUGCUUGUCAUCAAAGGUGAGAUUCCACCUGAGGAGCGGCUUAUGCAUCAUUAGCUUGUUGGCGGGGUAACGGCCCACCAAGGCUGCGAUGAUUAGGGGGUGUGAGAGCAUGGCCCCCACCACUGGCACUGAGACACUGGCCAGACACCUACGGGUGGCUGCAGUCGAGAAUCUUCGGCAAUGGGCGCAAGCCUGACUGAGCGAUGCCGCGUGCGGGAUGAAGGCCUUCGGGUUGUAAACCGCUGUCGGAGGGGAUGAAGUGUAUGGAAGCAAUCUUCUAUAUUUGACAGAGCCUCGGAGGAAGCACGGGCUAAGUUCGUGCCAGCCGCCGCCGUAA
RNAcentral lists this ribosomal RNA (494 nucleotides) under uncultured bacterium. RNAcentral's name for it is "partial 16S ribosomal RNA". It matches the Rfam family "Bacterial small subunit ribosomal RNA", at positions 29 to 523 of the family's 1533-position model. The record is from RNAcentral.